UACGUAGGGUGCAGGCGUUAAUCGGAAUUACUGGGCGUAAAGCGCGCGUAGGCGGCUUUGUAAGUUAGAGGUGAAAGCCCGGGGCUCAACUCCGGAACUGCCUUUAAGACUGCAUCGCUUGAAUCCGGGAGAGGUGAGUGGAAUUCCGAGUGUAGAGGUGAAAUUCGUAGAUAUUCGGAAGAACACCAGUGGCGAAGGCGGCUCACUGGACCGGUAUUGACGCUGAGGUGCGAAAGCGUGGGGAGCAAACAGG
This 253-nucleotide ribosomal RNA is filed under the name uncultured bacterium. Its description in RNAcentral is "partial 16S ribosomal RNA". It matches the Rfam family "Bacterial small subunit ribosomal RNA", at positions 524 to 776 of the family's 1533-position model. The record is from RNAcentral.